RNAcentral lists this long non-coding RNA (884 nucleotides) under Homo sapiens (human). Its description in RNAcentral is "novel transcript, antisense to GINS4". The record is from RNAcentral. Lineage: Eukaryota; Metazoa; Chordata; Mammalia; Primates; Hominidae.
UACAUCUUUUUUUUUUUUAAUUUGCAAAAAUUUAUUCAUAUACAAAUGUGCAAUAUCAAUAAAAUGACCAAACAGGUUUGUUCUUGAAACAUUUUCAAUUGAAUGGGAAUUAAAUGCUUUUGAAAAGUGACAAAAUGAUCAUACAGUGAAGUUGUCUCUUUCUUUAUAUAACAAGCAUAAAUCAAGUACUAACUCUUGAUUUUACUCUGAAUUAACCAUGACAUACUAAAUGAACUUGGGCUUCAGGCAGAACCUACAUCUUAAGGCGAGCUCCAGGCGAUGGGUAUGCACAUUAAGGCUUAGGAAGCACACUGUUCUAGGUUAACAGCUCAGGUCUCUGGGCUUAGCACUACAGGGAGAACGUGACUAGGAAGUGCAGACUUGGGUUCUGAUCUCAGGCUUACCACUAAAUAUCUGCUGUUUCCCACAGCCCUGCCCGCUUCUCAGGACUGUGGGGGACCAAAUGGGAUCCUUAUUAACAAGGUCCUGUAAGAUCUGGGUCCAGCCUGCCUCAGACCUUAUCAUGUAAUACUUUCUAUUUUGAGUUGGGCUUUCUAACCAGGCUGACCUCAAGUAGAGUUUGUUUCUGCCUCAGGGCCUUUGCACAGGCUGUUUUCUCUGCCUGGAACACCCUCCCUUUUGACCUCUGCACUGCAGCUGCCUCCUGUUAAUCAGAUCUCAGCCUAAAUGUUGUCUCUCCAGUGAGACCCUCCAGGGACUGCACGAGUAUCAAAUACCUUUGUCAAGAAAUAAAACCUCCCCAGGCCGUGCGCAGUGGCUCACGCCUAUAAUUCCAGCACUUUGGGAGGCCGAGUCACCAUGCCUGGCUGUUUAUGCCUAGUUUUAAAUUAGCUGGACAGCUCCAGAUGCAACCAGAGGUGCAA